Molecule: ribosomal RNA, 264 nt
Filed under: uncultured bacterium
Lineage: Bacteria
Description: partial 16S ribosomal RNA
Rfam family: Bacterial small subunit ribosomal RNA
Source: RNAcentral
UGAUGCCUACGGGGGGCAGCAGUGGGGAAUAUUGGGCAAUGGGCGCAAGCCUGACCCAGCAACGCCGCGUGAGGGAAUAAGGCCCUACGGGUCGUAAACCUCUUUUGCCGGGGAGCAAGGGCGGGGACGUGUCCCGGCCCGGAGAGUACCCGGAGAAAAAGCAUCGGCUAACUCCGUGCCAGCAGCCGCGGUAAUACGGAGGAUGCGAGCGUUAUCCGGAUUUAUUGGGUUUAAAGGGUGCGUAGGCGGGCUUUUAAGUCAGCG